UACGGGGGGCUGCAGUGGGGAAUAUUGGACAAUGGGCGCAAGCCUGAUCCAGCCAUGCCGCGUGGGCGAUGAAGGCCCUAGGGUUGUAAAGCCCUUUCGGCGGGGAAGAUAAUGACGGUACCCGCAGAAGAAGCCCCGGCUAACUUCGUGCCAGCAGCCGCGGUAAUACGAAGGGGGCUAGCGUUGCUCGGAAUUACUGGGUGUAAAGCGCACGUAGGCGGUCUUUUAAGUCGGGGGUGAGAUCCUGGAGCUCAACUCCAGAACUGCCUUCGAUACUGGAAGACUCGAGUCCGGGAGAGGUGAGUGGAACUGCGAAUGUAGAGGUGAAAUUCGUAGAUAUUCGCAAGAACACCAGUGGCGAAGGCGGCUCACUGGCCCGGUACUGACGCUGAGGUGCGAAAGCGUAGGGAGCAAACAGGAUUAGAUACCCCAGUAGUCAUCUUCUAGA
This 448-nucleotide ribosomal RNA is filed under the name uncultured Alphaproteobacteria bacterium. Its description in RNAcentral is "bacterial SSU rRNA". It matches the Rfam family "Bacterial small subunit ribosomal RNA", at positions 340 to 805 of the family's 1533-position model. The record is from RNAcentral. Lineage: Bacteria; Pseudomonadati; Pseudomonadota; Alphaproteobacteria.